GCAAACUUGGUCAUUUAGAGGAAGUAAAAGUCGUAACAAGGUUUCCGUAGGUGAACCUGCGGAAGGAUCAUUAUUGAAUGAACAUGGUUGGGUUGUCGCUGGCUUUUCGAAGCAUGUGCACACCACACCAUAUUCAAAACCACCUGUGCACAUUGCGUAGAUUCUGUGAGUACUUGAGGAUAAAGGCUUGUCAUGAGCUGCUCUCGUAUUCGAGAUCUAUGUAUAUAUUAUAUAUACACCUAUGAAUGUAUCAGAACGUUGUUCACAGGCUUUUUUGCCUUUAACAUUUAAUACAACUUUCAACAACGGAUCUCUUGGCUCUCGCAUCGAUGAAGAACGCAGC
This 343-nucleotide unclassified non-coding RNA is filed under the name uncultured fungus. RNAcentral's name for it is "partial contains small subunit ribosomal RNA, internal transcribed spacer 1, and 5.8S ribosomal RNA". The stretch from base 1 to 73 matches the Rfam family "Eukaryotic small subunit ribosomal RNA", at positions 1759 to 1831 of the family's 1831-position model. Lineage: Eukaryota; Fungi. The record is from RNAcentral.